AGAGAGAGAGAGAGAGAGAGAGAGAGAGAGAGCGGGAGAGAUUUUCUUUUUAUUUUUUGUUUAGAGAGAGAGAUCUUCAAAUCCCUUAUUUUAUGGUAAAUGGAGACCUGCGACUUUCUUAAUCGAACUAACUCUUCAUUUUUUUAGCAGAGAAAGUGACUAUAUUUGGCGCGAGAAUGUUCUUCAUAUGGCGACAACGUGGAUCCUUUCAGGCGAUCCCGAAUCAGAAGGAGGGCUGACAGGUCUAGUGUCAAGCUCAGGUGACAAUUCGAGCAUGUGCUUUCUGAAUUCCUAGGAAUGUGAAGAGAAAUAUACCAUCAUCUCAUGGAAUACCUGCAAUGGACUGUUGUAAUGUUAUUCUAUUUUUUGGUAUUAUAGAUAUCCUUCAGGGAUACGAUAUGAAGAAGUGCUUCGAGCUCACUUAUAAAUCAUUGCUGUUCGAUUCUUGGUCAGUCUCAGCUGUAAAUCCCAAAGUCUACUUGGGCCAUUUCCAGGAUUUUCUCAGCCAAGUAUUUCCAGCAGAGGACUUGGACUAAAAGCUUGCCACAAUUAAUCUUAUUGGUAAGAAGUUUGAUUUUUUGUC
Molecule: long non-coding RNA, 583 nt
Organism: Macadamia integrifolia
Lineage: Eukaryota; Viridiplantae; Streptophyta; Magnoliopsida; Proteales; Proteaceae
Exons: 3
Source: RefSeq, a predicted model, not a curated record